Molecule: long non-coding RNA, 426 nt
Organism: Oncorhynchus keta (chum salmon)
Lineage: Eukaryota; Metazoa; Chordata; Actinopteri; Salmoniformes; Salmonidae
Exons: 3
Source: RefSeq, a predicted model, not a curated record
UCGCCCACAGCCUUUCUCCUCAGUUUGUCUUGUUUUGGUAGAUAUUAUACUGUUACAUUGAGGCUCUGUCUGUGACACUCCCUAAUGGUGCAACAGAGAACUGUCUGUGACACUCCCUAAUGGUGCAACAGAGAACUGUCUGUGACACUCCCUAAUGGUGCAACAGAGAACUGUCUGUGACACUCCCUAAUGGUGCAACAGAGAACUGUCUGUGACACUCCCUAAUGGUGCAACAGAGAACUGUCUGUGACACUCCCUAAUGGUGCAACAGAGAACUGUCUGUGACACUCCCUAAUGGUGCAACAGAGAACUGUCUGUGACACUCCCUAAUGGUGCAACAGAGAACUAACUGUCUGUGACACUCCCUAAUGGUGCAACAGAGAACUAACUGUCUGUGACACUCCCUAAUGGUGCAACAGAGAACUG